RNAcentral lists this unclassified non-coding RNA (576 nucleotides) under Arrowsmithia pulvinaris. Its description in RNAcentral is "Macowania pulvinaris partial external transcribed spacer". The stretch from base 525 to 576 matches the Rfam family "Eukaryotic small subunit ribosomal RNA", at positions 1 to 52 of the family's 1831-position model. The record is from RNAcentral. Lineage: Eukaryota; Viridiplantae; Streptophyta; Magnoliopsida; Asterales; Asteraceae.
GUGCAUUCUGGGGUCAUUUCAGCUUUUGGUUGCUUGCUUGGCUUAAAGCUUGGUGGGUGGCUGAUUGUUGGGUGUCUUCGGGGAUGUCUACCGUAAAGGUGCAUGAGUGGUAUUGGGUUUGUUACGGGUGGUUGGCUCUUUGCUUGUGCAACAACUUCCAUCUGACUUACCUUUUCAGUUUAUUGUCAAAUGCUUCUAAAGCAUUGGAUUAUUCAUGGGUUUCUUGUGUUGCCUACCUAUUUGAUGGAAUUGUCUAAUGACCUAUAAUUGGAUUUCAUGUUACAUCUUAAAUGUGGUGUGAGAUGAACCUUUAAGCGUUCUUUGUGACCCACAUCUUUAAUGCUUAUGCAUUAUUUGGUGUGGUUCAUUUUGAGUUGCUUGGUCUCUUGGAUAUGGAACUUGAUGUGGGCAUGGGGCUUUAUGAGCCCUUUUGUUGUCCUGUUUAAGCGUUCUUGCUUCUCUAAUACGAUUGUCUAUCACGUAUGGCACGUCUCAGCGUGGUAGGCUAUGUCGGAGAUGAAUGCUACCUGGUUGAUCCUGCCAGUAGUCAUAUGCUUGUCUCAAAGAUUAAGCCAU